Molecule: unclassified non-coding RNA, 263 nt
Filed under: Hevea brasiliensis (rubber tree)
Lineage: Eukaryota; Viridiplantae; Streptophyta; Magnoliopsida; Malpighiales; Euphorbiaceae
Source: RNAcentral
CCAGCCUCUCAGAAACCAACUUCUCCACAGGAAGGUUUGAGCUUUAUUUCGACAAUGGUGACCUCCGGCUCAGACCUCUUGCCUGGCCGACUGAGUUCAAGUAUAAUCCUUAUUUUAGUAGUGGAACAUCUGCUAGUGGUUCACAGCUUGUUUUCAAUGGAUCAUCUCAUAUCAACUUGAUCCAGACCAAUGGAACGAUUGUGCAACUCCCAUGGAAAAGUCAGAAUGUAGCAUCUAGUGUGGCUACACACUACUAUCGAGCC